This 921-nucleotide ribosomal RNA is filed under the name uncultured Bacillota bacterium. Its description in RNAcentral is "bacterial SSU rRNA". It matches the Rfam family "Bacterial small subunit ribosomal RNA", at positions 1 to 917 of the family's 1533-position model. The record is from RNAcentral. Lineage: Bacteria; Bacillati; Bacillota.
UGGAUCCAGACUUUGAUCCUGGCUCAGGACGAACGCUGGCGGCGUGCCUAACACAUGCAAGUCGAACGAGAAGUUUCGAAACAAUCCCUUCGGGGUGCGUUUUGAAAUGGAAAGUGGCGGACGGGCGAGUAACGCGUGAGUAACCUGCCCAUAAGAGGGGGAUAAUCCAUGGAAACGUGGACUAAUACCGCAUAUUGAAUAUUAAUCGCAUGGUUGAUAUUUGAAAGAUUUAUCGCUUAUGGAUGGACUCGCGUCAGAUUAGAUAGUUGGAGAGGUAACGGCUCACCAAGUCGACGAUCUGUAGUCGAACUGAGAGGUUGAUCGGCCGCAUUGGGACUGAGACACGGCCCAGACUCCUACGGGAGGCAGCAGUGGGGAAUAUUGCGCAAUGGGGGGAACCCUGACGCAGCAACGCCGCGUGCAGGAAGAAGGUCUUCGGAUUGUAAACUGUUGUCGCAGGGGAAGAAGAAAGUGACGGUACCCUGUGAGAAAGUCACGGCUAACUACGUGCCAGCAGCCGCGGUAAUACGUAGGUGACAAGCGUUGUCCGGAUUUACUGGGUGUAAAGGGCGCGUAGGCGGGAUAGCAAGUCAGUCGUGAAAUACCGGAGCUUAACUCCGGAGCUGCGAUUGAAACUGUUAUUCUUGAGUAUCGGAGAGGAAAGCGGAAUUCCUAGUGUAGCGGUGAAAUGCGUAGAUAUUAGGAGGAACACCAGUGGCGAAGGCGGCUUUCUGGACGACAACUGACGCUGAGGCGCGAAAGUGUGGGGAGCAAACAGGAUUAGAUACCCUGGUAGUCCACACCGUAAACGAUGGAUACUAGGUGUAGGAGGUAUCGACCCCUUCUGUGCCGCAGUUAACACAAUAAGUAUCCCACCUGGGGAGUACGACCGCAAGGUUGCAACUCAAAGGAAUUGACGGA